CGUGUAGGCGGAGGAGCAAGUCAGAUGUGAAAUCCCGGGGCUUAACCCCGGAACUGCAUUUGAAACUGUUCCCCUUGAGUAUCGGAGAGGCAAGCGGAAUUCCUAGUGUAGCGGUGAAAUGCGUAGAUAUUAGGAGGAACACCAGUGGCGAAGGCGGCUUGCUGGACGACAACUGACGCUGAGGCGCGAAAGCGUGGGGAGCAAACA
This 207-nucleotide ribosomal RNA is filed under the name uncultured bacterium. RNAcentral's name for it is "partial 16S ribosomal RNA". It matches the Rfam family "Bacterial small subunit ribosomal RNA", at positions 568 to 774 of the family's 1533-position model. The record is from RNAcentral.